GCUCCGAGUGCAACGCCCUGCCCUUCACCUGCGCGGCGGCGGGGCGGGGCUCACCUGAGGCGAGGCGCGGUAGGGGCCGUCCGACGUCCGCCAUUUUGGGGAGGAGCCGCCCGCCCGCCCGCCCUCACCUCAGCGCUGAGGCGGCCUGAUAUGGCGGAUUGCGCUGCGUUGUUUGGGGCUGAGGUUCGGGGUGCUUCCUCCUGAGGGCCGGUCGUAAAACAUCACGAAGAAAAUUCUGCAGACAAUCCUUUGUUAUGAAAGGAAAGUGAAGUCACUUCAGUGGACCUCGGAGCACCCAAAUCCCACAGAUUGCACUGAAAUUUAGCUAGCGCUGUUGCAAUUCACUUAAACCCUUUGGCUGUUCUUCUAGAGAAAAUCCUCGUUAAGUAAUUAAUGUACAUUACAUGGUGGGAGGACACGUGAGCAGAGUGUGAACAGAAAAGUGCUCCUAAUGUUCCCUGUGCACAGAUGCUUAAUUAUCAACAGACUGAUUUAAUGUAACAAAACCGGACUGAUUUUAAUCAAUAUACAUAUGGCAUGUUGGGAAGCCUGAGCCAACUGUUUCUGCAGCAUUCACAACUGAACUGCUUCCAUCGUUCCUGCAGAGCAAAGAGGCUCUCCCUCCUGUAGGUCUCUCCAUGUGCAAGAGAGGAAUUCAGAGGACUAGAGUGGGUCAGAAGAGUUUCCUGCUUGAGUUAGGUCAUCCACUUGGAAGCACCUAGAUCCCGCUCACAAUUUAAAGAAAUGUGGUUUGUGAGGGCAAGUUCUUGAAGAUCUUCCACAGCUGGAAACUUUGCUUUUGCUAGUCUUGCUGGCAGCUCUCAUGUCAGGCUCAGAUCUUCAGGGCUAUUUUCACGAGAUGAAAGAAAUCUUAAUUAAGUGUUCAUAUCUUUGUCAGCCAGACUCGGAAUGAGAACUGAUGCAUUUCCCAUGAGCUUUACCACUUGUUAUACCCUGCAGACAACAAAGAUACUGAGAAGAAUAAUGUGAAUGUAAUUUAACAUCAGAAAGCAGUUUUCCACAACUGGAUAGGUUGAUGUGCAACUGUUGAGUGGGGAAAAAAAAUCUCUCUCUACUUUCUCUCAUUUAAAAAAAAAAUAAAAGAGCAUUUAGAGAAUGAUUGCAGUGUUUCCUGUAAAAUGGAGAAGAGAGGAUAGUUUAAUAACUUCAGCGCUAUACCCUGCAAAAGACACCAGUUCCUCCAUGCCUCAGGCGGCCCAGAUGACCUCAGGGAAGACACUUCCUUCUCUUUGAGCAUUAAUUCUCUUCUUUUGCUAGUUCAGAGAAGAUUCGUGAGGCUAAAUGUAGUAAUAAUUCUGAAGGACUCAGCUCAGCUUGCAGUCAUGACAGCCAGAGCAAAAUAUCGAGAGAGAUAGAAUGAACUGUUCUUCCCAAAUAGCAAAAAGACCUUGGUGCUCUGGGACCAAAUUGUCCACUUCUUACAACAGUAAGAGUAGAAGGCCCUAGACAUACCAGCUAGUGAUAAGCAGCUGCAAAAGGAUUCCAGUCCCCUUACAAAGCACAGCACUUAACUCCUUCCAUCCAUACAUGCUGAGAGGGAAGGAGUUUUGAGAUCAUGGUGUUCCUCAUUACCCAGGCUGGUUAAGUGUUUCAAAAUCUACGUCUAGACAGAACAUUUUAAUUCUGUCUUGAGAGUGCAUGUCAAUGUUUUACUAAACAUAAAGUAUUAUUUUUGAAUAAUCAUAUUCAUAUAGUUCUGUUUGAAUAUAAUCACAGUCAAAAAUAACAUAAUAGCCAGCAGAAUAGCUAGGAUCAUGUAAAUAAGAUAGAUACCAGGUUGCAUUGUCCUUCCUGCUCCUCCAUGAUUCGUUUUCUUCCAAAAAAAAAAAAAAAAGAGUCCAGUGCCUGUAAGAUGCCAAAACAGUACAGCAUGAAGACUGUUUUAUGCAGAUUUUUGAGAUUCCAUUUUGUUCCAUUUUUUGUUCCAUUCUCAAUCUAUUCGUAGCUAAAAUAUGUGUAGAGUUAUACUGUAGCCAUUAUUUCUUGACUGCAUGCACUGAGUUAUUAUUAGGUUGCAUAUGAAAAAUGAGGUGCUGUUCUCCUUCAGCAUUUUCUGUGCAUGUUUGAAUAAGGGAAAACCUGCACACUAUAGUCUGAUAAUCUUACGUAGCCUCCAUGGGCAUGGUUCAUACCGCUUUGUAACGAAAACACUGUGCUGUUUGGAGUUGAGGAAAUUGAAGAACAGUGAGAUGAAGUGAUGUCACCAAUACCACAAAGGCUGGUGAAAGUGAUAGGAUCAAUUCUCCUGUCCUGUGGAUGUGAAAAUACCUGGGCUGAGAGCACAGAUUGGCUUUUUGCUUCCACAA
Phasianus colchicus (ring-necked pheasant) is the source of this 2327-nucleotide long non-coding RNA. RefSeq lists it as uncharacterized. NCBI's taxonomy places the organism in Eukaryota, Metazoa, Chordata, Aves, Galliformes, Phasianidae. The record is from RefSeq and is a predicted model, not a curated record.